AGAGUUUGAUCCUGGCUCAGAAUCAACGCUGGCGGCGUGCUACACAUGCAAGUCGACGAGAAAGUGGGAGCAAUCCUGCGAGUACAGUGGCAGACGGGUGAGUAACACGUGAACAAUCUACCCUCGAGUGGGGAAUAACACCGCGAAAGCGGUGCUAAUACCGCAUAACAUCCCCGGGGCGCAUGUCCUGGUGAUCAAAGGCGAAAGUCGCUUGAGGAGGAGUUCGCGCCUGAUUAGCUAGUUGGUGAGGUAACGGCCCACCAAGGCGACGAUCAGUAGCCGGCCUGAGAGGGCGAACGGCCACACUGGAACUGAGACACGGUCCAGACUCCUACGGGAGGCAGCAGUGGGGAAUUUUGCGCAAUGGGCGAAAGCCUGACGCAGCAACGCCGCGUGGAGGAUGAAGGCCUUCGGGUCGUAAACUCCUGUCAGGGGGGACGAACACAAUGACUGUACCCCCUGAGGAAGCCACGGCUAACUCCGUGCCAGCAGCCGCGGUAAUACGGAGGUGGCAAGCGUUGUUCGGAAUUACUGGGCGUAAAGGGCGCGUAGGCGGCUUUGCAAGUCAGAUGUGAAAGCCCCGGGCUUAACUCGGGAAUUGCAUCUGAAACUGCUUUGCUUGAGUCCUGGAGGGGGUAGUGGAAUUCCCAGUGUAGCGGUGAAAUGCGUAGAUAUUGGGAGGAACACCUGUGGCGAAGGCGGCUACCUGGACAGUGACUGACGCUGAUGCGCGAAAGCUAGGGGAGCAAACGGGAUUAGAUACCCCGGUAGUCCUAGCCGUAAACGAUGGGCACUUGGUGUCGGGGGUAUUGAGUCCCCCGGUGCCGGAGUUAACACGUUAAGUGCCCCGCCUGGGGAGUACGGUCGCAAGACUGAAACUCAAAGGAAUUGACGG
RNAcentral lists this ribosomal RNA (895 nucleotides) under uncultured bacterium. Its description in RNAcentral is "bacterial SSU rRNA". It matches the Rfam family "Bacterial small subunit ribosomal RNA", at positions 8 to 916 of the family's 1533-position model. The record is from RNAcentral.